RNAcentral lists this ribosomal RNA (244 nucleotides) under uncultured bacterium. RNAcentral describes it as "partial 16S ribosomal RNA". It matches the Rfam family "Bacterial small subunit ribosomal RNA", at positions 15 to 248 of the family's 1533-position model. The record is from RNAcentral.
GAUCCUGGCUCAGGAUGAACGCUAGCUACAGGCUUAACACAUGCAAGUCGAGGGGAAACGAUAGAGAAAGCUUGCUUUUUCUAGGCGUCGACCGGCGCACGGGUGAGUAACGCGUAUCCAACCUGCCCACCACUUGGGGAUAACCUUGCGAAAGUAAGACUAAUACCCAAUGAUAUCUCUAGAAGACAUCUGAAAGGGAUUAAAGAUUUAUCGGUGAUGGAUGGGGAUGCGUCUGAUUAGCUUG